GAUGAACGCUGGCGGCGUGCCUAAUACAUGCAAGUCGAGCGAACAGAUGAGGAGCUUGCUCCUCUGACGUUAGCGGCGGACGGGUGAGUAACACGUGGAUAACCUACCUAUAAGACUGGGAUAACUUCGGGAAACCGUAGCUAAUACCGGAUAAUAUAUUGAACCGCAUGGUUCAAUAGUGAAAGACGGUUUUGCUGUCACUUAUAGAUGGAUCCGCGCCGCAUUAGCUAGUUGGUAAGGUAACGGCUUACCAAGGCAACGAUGCGUAGCCGACCUGAGAGGGGGAUCGGCCACACUGGAACUGAGACACGGUCCAGACUCCUACGGGAGGCAGCAGUAGGGAAUCUUCGGCAAUGGGCGAAAGCCUGACGGAGCAACGCCGCGUGAGUGAUGAAGGUCUUCGGAUCGUAAAACUCUGUUAUUAGGGAAGAACAAAUGUGUAAGUAACUAUGCACGUCUUGACGGUACCUAAUCAGAAAGCCACGGCUAACUACGUG
This 497-nucleotide ribosomal RNA is filed under the name uncultured bacterium. Its description in RNAcentral is "partial 16S ribosomal RNA". It matches the Rfam family "Bacterial small subunit ribosomal RNA", at positions 28 to 507 of the family's 1533-position model. The record is from RNAcentral.